Molecule: long non-coding RNA, 3159 nt
Organism: Pelodiscus sinensis (Chinese soft-shelled turtle)
Lineage: Eukaryota; Metazoa; Chordata; Testudines; Trionychidae
Source: RefSeq, a predicted model, not a curated record
UGUUUCUUGCUUUUGAGGAUGAUUGGGAACUACGUUAUUUUAGCCAUUUACUUUCAUUUUGGAAACACCCAACAACAUGUUAUUUUUAUUGCGGUAGCACCUAGGAUCCCCAUUCAGGCCAGGACCCCCAUUGUGCCAGGCACUGUACAAAUGUGGAAAAAAGGACUGUCCCUGCCUCAAGAAAUUCACAAUCUCUGUGUUUUAUUCAUUAAAUCUUCAUGUCUUUCUCUUAAGGGUAGAGUCUUGCAAAUCUGGAUAUCUACUUUAUAUCGGCAGGGGUUUUUUUCUGUGGGAUAUCCACAGCUCAUUUUUGUGGCUGUGGAUACAAAUUUUGUAUCCAUGCAGGGCUCUACUUAAGGGGCCUCAUCCUGAGGGAUGCUGCAUCUUUGCCAGUUUUGCUGAGGUCAGCUGCCAUUGUGGGUGUGCAGUCCCUUGCAAAAGCGGGCCUUGAGCUUGUUCCCACCCUUCAUUUUCAGUCAUUUGUUUUUUCUGUUGCUUUUUUCUAUUAUGUUCCAAUUAUCUUCAAUAGGAAAAUUGCAAAUAAAAUGUUACAUUUAUGCCCCUUUGAGUUCCUGUACAAACCCUCAUUGACAGGUAUGUGUGUUCUGUGUCAAUUGGAGCAUGCUCAAAUACCAUAAAACUAUGAAGGCAAAACCUGCAAGGCAGCAUCUUAACACACAAAACACCAAAUAGGCUCUUUAAAAGUGAUCUGCACAAGUGUUUUUUUAACGAGUUUAUGGCUAUGUUAGCUUGUUUAUUGCAUAUAAAAGACCAUUUAUUUUUCUCAUUGCUGUUUUUUCUGCUUCUAUGAGGGAUGUACAGUCUGGUGAUCCCUACUUUUGCUGGAAGACAUGUUGGGAGUAUCAAUGUGUAUCUACACAGCAGCAGCUGUAAUUUCCACUUCAGGGAAACAAAACAGCAGUUUGGAGACGCAAAGGCAAGGCGCUUCCGGCUGCCCCAAGUUCUGUGAAAGCAGAACACCAAUAAAUGUGCUGGUGUCUGCAGAUGGGGCUGGCGAUAGUUGCAGUCUCGGCUGUCAUUAAAGGGCCAUAAAGACGUGGUGUUUGGGAAGGAAGUCUCAUUGCAGCGUAUUGAGAAGUACACAGAACCUUUCAUCCCAAAGGCAACCCAGGACCUAAACCACAAAAACAGUACCAGCAUGUAUUGCAGAGGACAGCAGACAUCAGCUGUGAACACUUUUGGUUAGUUAAAAACCUCAGCUUUCCAAAGAAGGAAUUUGGUUAGAAAAAUUUCAACCAGCCCUGAUUACUCAUUUUUUAAAAGAGUCCAGUAGUUCUUGGGCUAGAUGGGAGUGAACUCUCUAACAUUGUCAUCCUUAUGAAUAUAAAUAUUUCCCCCCCAAAACAACGAGGAGUCCUGUGGCACCUUAGAGACUAACAGAUUUAUUAAGGCAUCAGCUUUCAUGGAUAAAACCAUCUGAUUAAAUGGAUUUUACCCAUGAAAAUUGAUGCCCUAAAAAAUCUGUUAGUCUCUAAGGCCAGGUCUACACUAGAUCUGGAAAGCUGAGUUAAGGUACACAAUUCCAGCUAUGGAAAAUAUGUAGCUGGAGCCGGACUGCCUUAAGCUGAGGUUUGCACUGUCUUUACAGAGGGAGGUCUAUGGGAGCAAACACUCCAGUCAACUUCUCUUACUCCUGAAGUCUGGGAGGCGUAUGGCCCCCUCAGCGUUCAAUUCAGCGGGUCUUAAUUAGAUUCACUAAAUUGAGCACCAGAAGAUCGGUCUCCAGCGCGGCAAGUGAAGACGUGACUUAAAGACCUACAGGACUCCUUGUUUUUGCAGAUACAGACUGACACGGCUGCCCCUCUAAGAUUUUGUUUUCCCAAUAUGUUGCAAUGACGCAGACUGUGUUUCAACAUAAAGUAUGCGAAUGCAUCUGUCAAUGCAAACAUGUUCAGGUUUGUAAAAUUGUGUAACAAAGCAAGUAUUACUACUAUGCUUGUAAAAUAAUAUUAUACAUAUAAUCUGGUUUUCAUAGAUCCUUUGACAUGCCUUUGGUUUAUUGUGUGAAUAAUAACAUUCUUAACAGUUAAAAAUAAUCACUGAAAGCUGUCUUCCUGUUGGAAGAGAAGUGGGAGGACGGGAACAAACAAUCCAUUACUAAAACUAAGAUACUGACAGAAGUUAAAAGGGUUGAGUUCACUUUCAUCUUAACACACGUUGGAAGCGUCACGAUGGUUGAACUGAUUUCUUUGUUGGAAAUUACCUGGAAAUUUUCAUAUGUAAAUAUGACAGCUAUAUGCCGCAGGUUUAUCUGAGCCAUUUAGUAAGUGAGGUCAGUUCAGAGUGAUUUGUCAAGAGAAUGAAACUGAUAAAUAGUCCUACAAUAGAAGACUUUGUUUCUCUAAUAGCCAGGUUCCUUUGAAACAAGAAAUGUUAUAGUCUUACAGUUGCUGUGAUGUAGCAACUUAGUACAACAAUCUACUCAUCACCAUUUGAAAUGUGAUGACUGAAUUGUGCUUUCCAGAUUGUUUCUUGUGCAGAUUACAUGUUAUUAGUCUUGCCAAAAUUCAUUUUUUCCCAAUUUUAAUCAACAUAAAUGUUCACAGGUGUGGGGAAUGAUAGGGGUUCAGAUGAUAAAGUCAGACAUUAAUUAAUGACAAUAAAUAUUUAGCUGUUAUAAAAUUUAACGUUUUAAUCUAACACAGAUUGUCCACAUCACAUGUCAAGACAUACAAAGUAAAUAGCCUUAAUUCCAACUCUAAUAAGCUCUCAAAAGUCGACCUUUACCAAUAAAAAUCUAAUCCUUUGAAGGCAUGCUAUUAUAGACCUGAUUUACCACAGCAUACUCCUAUUUCAAACUGGAGUAACUCCAUUUAAAUCUGGCCCCAAAUUUGGAUUACUGUUUCUAAUCAACUGUAAUACAUAGGUGUUUAUGAUUAAAAAAAAAAUCAGACAUAAGAGUCUGAAGAAGUUUUUUUUUUCUCCUAAGUUUUCAAUUUUAGAGAGGCAAAAAAAUACAAAUGUUGUGUUUGAUUUAUUUUUCAAUUGUGGGUUUUGUAAAAAAAAGUUUUGAUGGAAAUUUUCAACUAAGUCUGUUAUAUAUAAAGGAGCCAGCUCACCAACAGAUGUAAAUCAGUGUAACUACCUUAAUGGCAAAAGAGGUACACUGAUUUUUCCAGCUCUUCAUCUGGUAUAAAU